This 274-nucleotide ribosomal RNA is filed under the name uncultured bacterium. Its description in RNAcentral is "partial 16S ribosomal RNA". It matches the Rfam family "Archaeal small subunit ribosomal RNA", at positions 473 to 747 of the family's 1478-position model. The record is from RNAcentral.
AAACCAGCACCUCAAGUGGUCAGGAGGAUUAUUGGGCCUAAAGCAUCCGUAGCCUGUUCUGUAAGUUUUCGGUUAAAUCCAUUAGCUCAACUAAUGGGCCGCCGAAAAUACUGCAUAACUAGGGAGUGGGAGAGGUAGACGGUACUCGGUAGGAAGGGGUAAAAUCCUUUGAUCUAUUGAUGACCACCUGUGGCGAAGGCGGUCUACCAGAACACGUUCGACGGUGAGGGAUGAAAGCUGGGGGAGCGAACCGGAUUAGAUACCCGAGUAGUCC